AGUAACGCGUGGGAACAUACCCUUUGGUACGGAAUAGCCUCGGGAAACUGAGAGUAAUACCGUAUGUGGUCGUAAGACGAAAGAUUUAUCGCCAAAGGAUUGGCCCGCGUUGGAUUAGGUAGUUGGUGGGGUAAUGGCCUACCAAGCCGACGAUCCAUAGCUGGUUUGAGAGGAUGAUCAGCCACACUGGGACUGAGACACGGCCCAGACUCCUACGGGAGGCAGCAGUGGGGAAUCUUAGACAAUGGGCGCAAGCCUGAUCUAGCCAUGCCGCGUGAUCGAUGAAGGCCUUAGGGUUGUAAAGAUCUUUCAGUUGGGAAGAUAAUGACGGUACCAACAGAAGAAGCCCCGGCUAACUCCGUGCCAGCAGCCGCGGUAAUACGUAGGGUGCGAGCGUUGUCCGG
Molecule: ribosomal RNA, 404 nt
Filed under: uncultured bacterium
Lineage: Bacteria
Description: bacterial SSU rRNA
Rfam family: Bacterial small subunit ribosomal RNA
Source: RNAcentral